UGGGGAAUCUUCCGCAAUGGACGAAAGUCUGACGGAGCAACGCCGCGUGAGUGAAGAAGGUUUUCGGAUCGUAAAACUCUGUCUUUUGGGGCGAACGUGAGUAUGGUGAACAAUCAUAGUCAGUGACGGUACCAAAGGAGGAAGCCACGGCUAACUACGUGCCAGUAGCCGCGGUAAUACGUAGGUGGCAAGCGUUGUCCGGAAUUAUUGGGCGUAAAGAGCGCGUAGGCGGGAUAGUCAGUCUGUUGUAAAGUGCGGGGCUCAACCCCGUGAUGGCAAUGGAAACAGCUAUUCUUGAGUGCAGGAGAGGAAAGUGGAAUUCCCAGUGUAGCGGUGAAAUGCGUAGAUAUUGGGAGGAACACCAGUGGCGAAGGCGACUUUCUGGACUGUGUCUGACGCUGAGGCGCGAAAGCCAGGGGAGCGAACGGGAUUAGAUACCCCGGUAGUCCUGGGCCGUAAACGAUGGGUACUAGGUGUGGGAGGUAUCGACCCCCUUCCGUGCCGGAGUUAACGCAAUAAGUACCCCGCCUGGGGAGUACGGUCGCAAGACUGAAACUCAAAUGAAUUGAC
This 570-nucleotide ribosomal RNA is filed under the name uncultured bacterium. Its description in RNAcentral is "partial 16S ribosomal RNA". It matches the Rfam family "Bacterial small subunit ribosomal RNA", at positions 355 to 914 of the family's 1533-position model. The record is from RNAcentral.